Molecule: ribosomal RNA, 253 nt
Filed under: uncultured bacterium
Lineage: Bacteria
Description: partial 16S ribosomal RNA
Rfam family: Bacterial small subunit ribosomal RNA
Source: RNAcentral
UACGUAGGGUCCGAGCGUUGUCCGGAAUUAUUGGGCGUAAAGGGCUCGUAGGCGGUUUGUUGCGUCGGGAGUGAAAACUUCGAGCUUAACUCGGAGCUUGCUUUCGAUACGGGCAGACUUGAGGCAUUCAGGGGAGAACGGAAUUUCUGGUGUAGCGGUGAAAUGCGCAGAUAUCAGAAGGAACACCGGUGGCGAAGGCGGUUCUCUGGGAAUGUUCUGACGCUGAGGAGCGAAAGCGUGGGGAGCGAACAGG